GCUAGUUGUAUUAACUAUUAGUUAAUGCAAGAUCGACUACGUCGACUAAAGUUCUAGGUAGAAUAAUGAUGAUGACAAUUUUUUAUCUAUAUGUCUUGACCAAGUCUCGUGCCAGCAGUCGCGGUAAUACGUGGAAGACUAGUGUUAUUCAUCUUUAAUAGGUUUAAAGGGUACCUAGACGGUAUUUCUAGCCCAAAAUAGGGUACGGAUUUACUAGAGUUUUAUGUGAGGAGGGGAGUACUUAUGGAGUAGAGAUGAAAUUUUGUGAUACUAUGAGGAAACUGGUGGCGGCGAAAGCAACCUUCUAUGUAUAAACUGACGUUGAGGGACGAAGGCUUGGGUAGCAAAUAGGAUUAGAUACCCUAGUAGUCCAAGCAGACAAUUCUGAAUGCCAUAGAUUAGAUUAUUUUUGGUCUAUAAAUGAAAGUGUAAGCAUUCCACCUUAGGAGUAAUGUGGCAACACAGGAACUGAAAUCAUUAGACCGUUUCUGAAACCAGUAGUGAAGUAUGUUAUUUAAUUUGAUGGUCCACAAAAAACCUUACCACAACUUGAAUAUUAUUAAAUUAAUACAAGCGUUGCACGGCUGUCUUCAGUUAAUGUCGUGAGAUUUUGGUUAACUCCAUUAAUUAACGUAAACCCUUACUUUAU
RNAcentral lists this ribosomal RNA (649 nucleotides) under Sarcogyne clavus. Its description in RNAcentral is "SSU rRNA". It matches the Rfam family "Bacterial small subunit ribosomal RNA", at positions 381 to 1114 of the family's 1533-position model. Lineage: Eukaryota; Fungi; Ascomycota; Lecanoromycetes; Acarosporales; Acarosporaceae. The record is from RNAcentral.